RNAcentral lists this ribosomal RNA (1133 nucleotides) under uncultured Porphyromonas sp. RNAcentral's name for it is "bacterial SSU rRNA". The stretch from base 1 to 817 matches the Rfam family "Bacterial small subunit ribosomal RNA", at positions 28 to 873 of the family's 1533-position model. Lineage: Bacteria; Pseudomonadati; Bacteroidota; Bacteroidia; Bacteroidales; Porphyromonadaceae. The record is from RNAcentral.
GAUGAACGCUGACAGAAUGCUUAACACAUGCAAGUCAACUUGAAUUUGGGUUUUUAACUUAGAUUUGGGUGGCGGACGGGUGAGUAACGCGUAAAGAACUUGCCUCACAGUUAGGGACAACAUUUAGAAAUGAAUGCUAAUACCUGAUAUUAUGAUUUUAAGGCAUCUUAGAAUUAUGAAAGCUAUAAGCACUGUGAGAGAGCUUUGCGUCCCAUUAGCUAGUUGGAGAGGUAACAGCUCACCAAGGCGAUGAUGGGUAGCCGGCCUGAGAGGGUGAACGGCCACAAGGGGACUGAGACACGGCCCUUACUCCUACGGGAGGCAGCAGUGGGGAAUAUUGGACAAUGGACCGAGAGUCUGAUCCAGCAAUUCUGUGUGCACGAUGAAGUUUUUCGGAAUGUAAAGUGCUUUCAGUUGGGAAGAAAAAAAUGACGGUACCAACAGAAGAAGUGACGGCUAAAUACGUGCCAGCAGCCGCGGUAAUACGUAUGUCACGAGCGUUAUCCGGAUUUAUUGGGCGUAAAGCGCGUCUAGGUGGUUAUGUAAGUCUGAUGUGAAAAUGCAGGGCUCAACUCUGUAUUGCGUUGGAAACUGUAUAACUAGAGUACUGGAAAGGUAAGCGGAACUACAAGUGUAGAGGUGAAAUUCGUAGAUAUUUGUAGGAAUGCCGAUGGGGAAGCCAGCUUACUGGACAGAUACUGACUCUGAAGCGCGAAAGCGUGGGUAGCAAACAGGAUUAUAUACCCUGUGUAGUUCCAAGGCGAAUUGCACAGUGGGAUAUCAAGCUUAUCGAUAUCUGUGACCUGAUGGGGGGGCCCUGUAAAAAAGAUUUUUGUUCCUUUAUGGAGGGUGUAUUUAGCUUGUGGUUGUUCUGUGUCAUGUGUACUGAUAUGCACGUGCUGACUUGCUGAUGUGUGUCUGCUUAAUGCUGAUAGUUGUGAUGUACUGUCUGUGUGUUGUGUUCUGUUAGCUGUGUCGCUGCCAUGCUGUGUGGCUGCUGGUGUUAUUGUGAGUGUUUGAUGUAUGUUGGUGUGCUGUUGGUGUGGUAGUGCCUGUGAUGGUGUAUGAUAUGUGCUGUUGCUGGUGUCUGUGUGUAGUGUAUAGUCAUCUAGUAGUUGUCAUCUGUCUGGAUG